GACCAUUGGAUCAUGGCCAUCCUGUGCUGCAUUCUUUAAUUGACAGUUCUUAUUCCAUCUGGUUAGUUACUCAACAUUCACCAACCAAAAAGACUGGCAAGAAGCCUUCAAACUUUGGACUUGUGCUGGAAAUUGCUUUAAAGUAGCCUAUACAGGCACUUGAGUAUAAAUGCUGCCAGACCUCUGCCAAUUCCACU
Molecule: long non-coding RNA, 197 nt
Organism: Carcharodon carcharias (great white shark)
Lineage: Eukaryota; Metazoa; Chordata; Chondrichthyes; Lamniformes; Lamnidae
Exons: 3
Source: RefSeq, a predicted model, not a curated record